AAUGAAGGAGAUGAUGUGUUUCUUUGUGAAUAUGAGUAUGACGUAAAAUGGCACAAUUUUAAGCGCAUCGCUGAGAUA
Small nucleolar RNA from Andrographis paniculata, 78 nucleotides. RefSeq annotates it as small nucleolar RNA snoR28. The transcript has a single exon. NCBI's taxonomy places the organism in Eukaryota, Viridiplantae, Streptophyta, Magnoliopsida, Lamiales, Acanthaceae. The record is from RefSeq and is a predicted model, not a curated record.